RNAcentral lists this long non-coding RNA (2696 nucleotides) under Triticum aestivum (bread wheat). RNAcentral's name for it is "long non-coding RNA (TAES_LNC027700)". The record is from RNAcentral. Lineage: Eukaryota; Viridiplantae; Streptophyta; Magnoliopsida; Poales; Poaceae.
GAACAGAGCGCCCCUUCCCGAACAUUCUCGAAAUUCCCAGCAUCCCAAAUAAAAUCCGCGCCCCGGCCGUCCCUGGAUCCAUCAGUUCCAUCGCGAUUCCCAACUCGCAGCAAGCAAUCAAGCGAUUCCCCUCAGAUCUAUAUAGAGUUCUACGUAGCUCCGAUUUCGUCUUCGAGUUCCUGUUUCCCCGUUCCGUUCGAGCUUAGAGAGAAGGACAUGGCGAAGGGAGGAGAGGGCCCGGCGAUCGGCAUCGACCUGGGCACCACCUACUCGUGCGUGGGCGUGUGGCAGCACGACCGGGUGGAGAUCAUCGCCAAUGACCAGGGCAACCGCACCACGCCCUCCUACGUCGGCUUCACCGACACCGAGCGCCUCAUCGGCGACGCCGCCAAGAACCAGGUCGCCAUGAACCCCACCAACACCGUCUUCGGUACGUCCUCCUGCACCACUCCUCUUCUACUAGCUUAGAUAGAUGGAUCAUCUCGUGUUCGUGCUUGUACUGCUACGGUUGAUAAUAAUGUGCUCGGUUAUGAUUAUGUGCGCGUAUGCGUUUUUUAUGUGAUUUUGUUUGGAUCCAACUCCUCGUAGGACGCUAGUAGUAUCGCAGUGCAAAUCAAUUUGUUUGCUGGGCUUAACGAGUAGCAGAGAUUGCUGGCAUUGUCUGUAUUUGAAGAACUGACGGAAAUAUAUGCAGUAAUCUGGUCUUAGUUUAAAGUCCCCUUAGUUCCAGUACAAGAUUCUGCUAAAAACUUUGCUGAUUAAGAUUUCUAUGUUGAAACCUGUUCACGGGUCAACAAUGGAAAGGAAGAUAACUUGUUGGGUUGGCUGUUUCUGUUGAAACUAUUUGUUUGGGGGCAGGACAACAUUGUGGAUAAAUUUCAGUUUCCUGUUUGGAGCUUGUCAAAACUCAGCUGUUGCUCUGCUUAUUUGCUUUUUGUGCCCAAAUAAGUUUGAUUAAUUUGAGCGCAAGUCGAACUGUUGGACUGACAUUCUUGCUCUAUCUCUGUCGCAGAUGCCAAGCGGUUGAUCGGAAGGCGGUUCACCGACCCGUCCGUGCAGAGCGACAUGAAGCUGUGGCCGUUCAAGGUCAUCCCAGGCCCUGCUGACAAGCCGAUGAUCGUCGUCCAGUACAAGGGUGAGGAGAAGCAGUUCGCCGCCGAGGAGAUCUCCUCGAUGGUGCUCAUCAAGAUGAAGGAGAUCGGUGAGGCCUACCUCGGCACCACCAUCAAGAACGCUGUCGUCACGGUGCCGGCCUACUUCAACGACUCGCAGCGGCAGGCCACCAAGGACGCCGGGGUCAUUGCCGGCCUCAAUGUGAUGCGCAUCAUCAACGAGCCCACUGCCGCCGCCAUCGCCUACGGCCUGGACAAGAAGGCCAGCAGCUCCGGCGAGAAGAACGUGCUUAUCUUCGACCUUGGUGGCGGCACCUUCGACGUGUCGCUGCUCACCAUCGAGGAGGGCAUCUUCGAGGUGAAGGCCACCGCCGGCGACACCCACCUCGGCGGCGAGGACUUCGACAACCGCAUGGUGAACCACUUCGUCCAGGAGUUCAAGCGCAAGCACAAAAAGGACAUCAGCGGCAACCCUCGCGCGCUGCGCCGGCUGCGCACGGCCUGCGAGCGCGCCAAGCGCACCCUUUCGUCCACCGCGCAGACCACCAUCGAGAUCGACUCGCUGUACGAGGGCGUCGACUUCUACUCGACCAUCACCAGGGCCCGGUUCGAGGAGCUCAACAUGGACCUGUUCCGGAAGUGCAUGGAUCCCGUGGAGAAGUGCCUGCGCGACGCCAAGAUGGACAAGAGCACCGUGCACGACGUCGUGCUCGUCGGCGGCUCCACCCGCAUCCCCAAGGUGCAGCAGCUGCUGCAGGACUUCUUCUACGGCAAGGAGCUGUGCAAGAGCAUCAACCCCGACGAGGCCGUGGCCUACGGCGCCGCCGUCCAGGCCGCCAUCCUCAGCGGCGAGGGCAACGAGAAGGUGCAGGACCUGCUCCUGCUGGACGUCACGCCGCUGUCCCUCGGCCUGGAGACCGCCGGCGGCGUGAUGACGACGCUCAUCCCGCGGAACACCACCAUCCCGACCAAGAAGGAGCAGAUCUUCUCCACCUACUCGGACAACCAGCCGGGCGUGCUGAUCCAGGUCUUCGAGGGCGAGCGCGCGCGGACCAAGGACAACAACCUGCUGGGCAAGUUCGAGCUGUCCGGCAUCCCCCCGGCCCCCCGAGGCGUGCCCCAGAUCACCGUAUGCUUCGACAUCGACGCCAACGGCAUCCUGAACGUGUCGGCCGAGGACAAGACCGCCGGCGUGAAGAACAAGAUCACCAUCACCAACGACAAGGGGCGGCUGAGCAAGGAGGACAUCGAGAAGAUGGUGCAGGAGGCGGAGCGGUACAAGGCCGAGGACGAGGAGCUGAAGAAGAAGGUGGAGGCCAAGAACGCGCUGGAGAACUACGCCUACAACAUGAGGAACACCGUCAAGGACGACAAGAUCGCGUCCAAGCUCCCCGCCGACGACAAGAAGAAGAUCGAGGACGCCAUCGACGGCGCCAUCAGCUGGCUCGACACCAACCAGCUCGCGGAGGCGGACGAGUUCGAGGACAAGAUGAAGGAACUGGAGGGCGUCUGCAACCCCAUCAUCGCCAAGAUGUACCAGGGCGCUGGCGCCGACAUGGGAGGCAUGGGCGGUGCCGCCGGCAU